RNAcentral lists this ribosomal RNA (399 nucleotides) under uncultured bacterium. RNAcentral's name for it is "bacterial SSU rRNA". It matches the Rfam family "Bacterial small subunit ribosomal RNA", at positions 356 to 773 of the family's 1533-position model. The record is from RNAcentral.
GGGGGAUAUUGCACAAUGGGGGAAACCCUGAUGCAGCGACGCCGCGUGAGCGAAGAAGGCCUUCGGGUCGUAAAGCUCUGUCCUAAGGGAAGAUAAUGACGGUACCUUAGGAGGAAGCCCCGGCUAACUACGUGCCAGCAGCCGCGGUAAAACGUAGGGGGCGAGCGUUGUCCGGAAUUACUGGGCGUAAAGGGUGCGUAGGCGGCUAUUUAAGUCAGAUGUGAAAGGCUACGGCUCAACCGUAGUAAGCAUUUGAAACUGAAUAGCUUGAGUCAAGGAGAGGGAAGUGGAAUUCCUGGUGUAGCGGUGAAAUGCGUAGAUAUCAGGAGGAAUACCAGUGGCGAAGGCGACUUCCUGGCCUUAGACUGACGCUGAGGCACGAAAGCGUGGGGAGCAAAC